This 468-nucleotide ribosomal RNA is filed under the name uncultured bacterium. RNAcentral's name for it is "partial 16S ribosomal RNA". It matches the Rfam family "Bacterial small subunit ribosomal RNA", at positions 28 to 507 of the family's 1533-position model. The record is from RNAcentral.
GACGAACGCUGGCGGCGUGCUUAACACAUGCAAGUCGAACGGAAAGGCCCUGCUUUUGUGGGGUGCUCGAGUGGCGAACGGGUGAGUAACACGUGAGUAACCUGCCCUUGACUUUGGGAUAACUUCAGGAAACUGGGGCUAAUACCGGAUAGGAGCUCCUGCUGCAUGGUGGGGGUUGGAAAGUUUCGGCGGUUGGGGAUGGACUCGCGGCUUAUCAGCUUGUUGGUGGGGUAGUGGCUUACCAAGGCUUUGACGGGUAGCCGGCCUGAGAGGGUGACCGGCCACAUUGGGACUGAGAUACGGCCCAGACUACUACGGGAGGCAGCAGUGGGGAAUAUUGCACAAUGGGCGGAAGCCUGAUGCAGAAACGCCGCGUGCGGGAUGACGGCCUUCGGGUUGUAAACCGCUUUAGCCUGUGACGAAGCGUGAGUGACGGUAAUGGGUAAAGAAGCACCGGCUAACUACGUG